RNAcentral lists this ribosomal RNA (460 nucleotides) under uncultured bacterium. Its description in RNAcentral is "partial 16S ribosomal RNA". It matches the Rfam family "Bacterial small subunit ribosomal RNA", at positions 338 to 795 of the family's 1533-position model. The record is from RNAcentral.
CCUACGGGAGGCAGCAGUGAGGAAUAUUGGUCAAUGGACGACAGUCUGAACCAGCCAAGUAGCGUGAAGGAUGACUGCCCUAUGGGUUUUAACCUUCUUUUAUAUGGGAAUAAAAUGUUCCACGUGUGGGAUUUUGUAUGUACCAUAUGAAUAAGGAUCGGCUCACUCCGUUCCAGAAGCCGCGGUAAUACGGAGGAUCCGAGCGUUAUCCGGAUUUAUUGGGUUUAAAGGGAGCGUAGGUGGAUUGUUAAGUCAGUUGUGAAAUUUUGCGGCUCAACCUUAAAAUUGCAGUUGAAACUGGCAGUCUUGAGUACAGUAGAGGUGGGCGGAAUUCGUGGUGUAGCGGUGAAAUGCUUAGAUAUCACGAAGAACUCCGAUUGCGAAGGCAGCUCACUGGACUGCAACUGACACUGAGGCUCGAAAGUGUGGGUAUCAAACAGGAUUAGAUACCCUGGUAGUC